CAGCCCUAAACGAUGCGCGUUAGGUGUAUCGGUGACCACGAGUCACCGAGGUGCCGAAGGGAAACCGUGAAACGUGCCGCCUGGGAAGUACGGUCGCAAGGCUGAAACUUAAGGGAAUUGGCGGGGGAGCACCACAACGGGUGGAGCCUGCGGUUUAAUUGGACUCAACGCCGGGAAGCUCACCGGAUAAGACAGCGGAAUGAUUGCCGGGCUGAAGACCCUGCAUGACCAGCUGAGAGGAGGUGCAUGGCGUAGUCGUGU
This 261-nucleotide ribosomal RNA is filed under the name uncultured archaeon. Its description in RNAcentral is "partial 16S ribosomal RNA". It matches the Rfam family "Archaeal small subunit ribosomal RNA", at positions 748 to 1009 of the family's 1478-position model. The record is from RNAcentral.